GACGAACGCUGGCGGCGUGCUUAACACAUGCAAGUCGAACGGAAAGGCCCUGCUUUUGUGGGGUGCUCGAGUGGCGAACGGGUGAGUAACACGUGAGUAACCUGCCCUUGACUUUGGGAUAACUUCAGGAAACUGGGGCUAAUACCGGAUAGGAGCUCCUGCUGCAUGGUGGGGGUUGGAAAGUUUCGGCGGUUGGGGAUGGACUCGCGGCUUAUCAGCUUGUUGGUGGGGUAGUGGCUUACCAAGGCUUUGACGGGUAGCCGGCCUGAGAGGGUGACCGGCCACAUUGGGACUGAGAUACGGCCCAGACUCCUACGGGAGGCAGCAGUGGGGAAUAUUGCACAAUGGGCGGAAGCCUGAUGCAGCAACGCCGCGUGCGGGAGGACGGCCUUCGGGUGGUAAACCGCUUUCGCCUGUGACGAAGCGUGAGUGACGGUAAUGGGUAAAGAAGCACCGGCGAACUACGU
Molecule: ribosomal RNA, 467 nt
Filed under: uncultured bacterium
Lineage: Bacteria
Description: partial 16S ribosomal RNA
Rfam family: Bacterial small subunit ribosomal RNA
Source: RNAcentral